AUGGUAGAAUGCGUUAUCGCUUUUCUCGGUAUAGAGAAGGGAGGAAAGUCCGGACAGGAAAGGGCGCUGCGCUGCUGAAAAGCAGAUGUUUGUGAGAGUAUGGAAAUGUAACAGAAAAUAACCGCCCUGAUUAUUCGGGGUAAGGGUGAAAAGGUGAGGUAAGAGCUUACCGCGUUUUGUGGCGACACAUCCGGCCGUACAACCCGCAGCCUGCAAGACCAUGUACAUCGGCGUUAAGAGUUGCUCGCUCGUGUCGAGGGGUAGGUCGCACUUUCUGUUUAAAACGCAGAAGAAAGAUAAAUGAUAACGAUUCCGUCAAAGGAAUACAGAAUCCGGCUUACAGUUCUACCAGAAAA
This 356-nucleotide RNase P RNA is filed under the name Prevotellaceae bacterium. Its description in RNAcentral is "RNase P RNA component class A". It matches the Rfam family "Bacterial RNase P class A". From Rfam's summary of the family: Ribonuclease P (RNase P) is a ubiquitous endoribonuclease, found in archaea, bacteria and eukarya as well as chloroplasts and mitochondria. Lineage: Bacteria; Pseudomonadati; Bacteroidota; Bacteroidia; Bacteroidales; Prevotellaceae. The record is from RNAcentral.